GACCGCGCCGACGUGGGCGCUUCGUCGCUCGCGACGUCGUGAGAAGUUCACUGAACCUUAUCAUUUAGAGGAAGGAGAAGUCGUAACAAGGUUUCCGUAGGUGAACCUGCGGAAGGAUCAUUGUCGAAACCUUGACCAGCAGAAUGACCAGCGAACCAGUUGAGCGAAUUCGAGGGGAUCGUGAGGGGGACCUGGGCACCUCUCUUCCCCAGAAAUAACAACCAAAACCCCGGCGCGAGUCGCGCCAAGGAGAUCCAAUCAGAAGAUUGCCGUCCCAGUCCCUGGAAGGGGGCUAGGGGCCGGCGGCUCUUCGUGUUGAAUGAACGAAAAUGACUCUCGGCAACGGAUAUCUCGGCUCUCGCAUCGAUGAAGAACGUAGCGAAAUGCGAUACUUGGUGUGAAUUGCAGAAUCCCGGGAACCAUCGAGUCUUUGAACGCAAGUUGCGCCCGAAGCCUUUAGGCUGGGGGCACGUCUGCCUGGGUGUCACACACCGUUGCCCCGAGUCAAGCCCCUACUGGGGGAAGUGCCGGGGCAGAUGUUGGUCUCCCGUUAGCCGCGCGCUCGUGGUUGGCCCAAAUUCAUGGUCCUCAGCGGCGGACGCCACGACGAUCGGUGGUUUUGGCCCUCGGACUUUGUCGUGCGCGAACUCGCUGACACGGACCCGAAUGUGCUCCCUGUGAGGGCCGCCCUCGCGACCCCAGGUCAGGCGGGACUACCCGCUGAGUUUAAGCAUAUCAAUAAGCGGAGGAAAAGAAACUUACCAGGAUUCCCC
Molecule: ribosomal RNA, 773 nt
Filed under: Grangeria borbonica
Lineage: Eukaryota; Viridiplantae; Streptophyta; Magnoliopsida; Malpighiales; Chrysobalanaceae
Description: eukaryotic LSU rRNA
Rfam family: 5.8S ribosomal RNA (bases 332-487)
Source: RNAcentral